Molecule: ribosomal RNA, 551 nt
Filed under: uncultured Glomeromycotina
Lineage: Eukaryota; Fungi; Glomeromycota
Description: SSU rRNA
Rfam family: Eukaryotic small subunit ribosomal RNA
Source: RNAcentral
UUGGAGGGCAAGUCUGGUGCCAGCAGCCGCGGUAAUUCCAGCUCCAAUAGCGUAUAUUAAAGUUGUUGCAGUUAAAAAGCUCGUAGUUGAACUUCGGGGUUUACCCAUUGGUCAGGCUUAAUUGUCUGUACUGGUGAGAUAAAUCUCUACCUUCUGAGGAACUUUCAUGCCAUUUAGUUGGUGUGAUAGGAAAUCAGGACUGUUACUUUGAAAAAAUUAGAGUGUUUAAAGCAGGCUAACGUCUGAAUACAUUAGCAUGGAAUAAUGAAAUAGGACGGAUUGGUUCUAUUUCGUUGGUUUCUAGGAUCACCGUAAUGAUUAAUAGGGAUAGUUGGGGGCAUUAGUAUUCAAUUGUCAGAGGUGAAAUUCUUGGAUUUAUUGAAGACUAACUAUUGCGAAAGCAUUUGCCAAGGAUGUUUUCAUUAAUCAAGAACGAAAGUUAGGGGAUCGAAGACGAUCAGAUACCGUCGUAGUCUUAACCAUAAACUAUGCCGACUAGGGAUCGGACGAAGUUAAUUUUAUAAUGACGCGUUCGGCGCCUUACGGGAAAC